Molecule: ribosomal RNA, 1658 nt
Filed under: Salmonella enterica
Lineage: Bacteria; Pseudomonadati; Pseudomonadota; Gammaproteobacteria; Enterobacterales; Enterobacteriaceae
Description: partial 23S ribosomal RNA
Rfam family: Bacterial large subunit ribosomal RNA
Source: RNAcentral
GAAUGCUGACAUAAGUAACGAUAAAGCGGGUGAAAAGCCCGCUCGCCGGAAGACCAAGGGUUCCUGUCCAACGUUAAUCGGGGCAGGGUGAGUCGACCCCUAAGGCGAGGCCGAAAGGCGUAGUCGAUGGGAAACGGGUUAAUAUUCCCGUACUUGGUGUUACUGCGAAGGGGGGACGGAGAAGGCUAUGUUGGCCGGGCGACGGUUGUCCCGGUUUAAGCGUGUAGGUGUGUGUUCCAGGUAAAUCCGGUUCACUUUAACACUGAGGCGUGACGACGAGGCACUACGGUGCUGAAGCAACAAAUGCCCUGCUUCCAGGAAAAGCCUCUAAGCAUCAGGUAACAUCAAAUCGUACCCCAAACCGACACAGGUGGUCAGGUAGAGAAUACCAAGGCGCUUGAGAGAACUCGGGUGAAGGAACUAGGCAAAAUGGUGCCGUAACUUCGGGAGAAGGCACGCUGACACGUAGGUGAAGUGAUUUACUCACGGAGCUGAAGUCAGUCGAAGAUACCAGCUGGCUGCAACUGUUUAUUAAAAACACAGCACUGUGCAAACACGAAAGUGGACGUAUACGGUGUGACGCCUGCCCGGUGCCGGAAGGUUAAUUGAUGGGGUCAGCGCAAGCGAAGCUCCUGAUCGAAGCCCCGGUAAACGGCGGCCGUAACUAUAACGGUCCUAAGGUAGCGAAAUUCCUUGUCGGGUAAGUUCCGACCUGCACGAAUGGCGUAAUGAUGGCCAGGCUGUCUCCACCCGAGACUCAGUGAAAUUGAACUCGCUGUGAAGAUGCAGUGUACCCGCGGCAAGACGGAAAGACCCCGUGAACCUUUACUAUAGCUUGACACUGAACAUUGAGCCUUGAUGUGUAGGAUAGGUGGGAGGCUUUGAAGUGUGGACGCCAGUCUGCAUGGAGCCGACCUUGAAAUACCACCCUUUAAUGUUUGAUGUUCUAACGUGGACCCGUAAUCCGGGUUGCGGACAGUGUCUGGUGGGUAGUUUGACUGGGGCGGUCUCCUCCUAAAGAGUAACGGAGGAGCACGAAGGUUGGCUAAUCCUGGUCGGACAUCAGGAGGUUAGUGCAAUGGCAUAAGCCAGCUUGACUGCGAGCGUGACGGCGCGAGCAGGUGCGAAAGCAGGUCAUAGUGAUCCGGUGGUUCUGAAUGGAAGGGCCAUCGCUCAACGGAUAAAAGGUACUCCGGGGAUAACAGGCUGAUACCGCCCAAGAGUUCAUAUCGACGGCGGUGUUUGGCACCUCGAUGUCGGCUCAUCACAUCCUGGGGCUGAAGUAGGUCCCAAGGGUAUGGCUGUUCGCCAUUUAAAGUGGUACGCGAGCUGGGUUUAGAACGUCGUGAGACAGUUCGGUCCCUAUCUGCCGUGGGCGCUGGAGAACUGAGGGGGGCUGCUCCUAGUACGAGAGGACCGGAGUGGACGCAUCACUGGUGUUCGGGUUGUCAUGCCAAUGGCACUGCCCGGUAGCUAAAUGCGGAAGAGAUAAGUGCUGAAAGCAUCUAAGCACGAAACUUGCCCCGAGAUGAGUUCUCCCUGAGACUUUAGGUCUCCUGAAGGAACGUUGAAGACGACGACGUUGAUAGGCCGGGUGUGUAAGCGCAGCGAUGCGUUGAGCUAACCGGUACUAAUGAACCGUGAGGCUUAACCUUACA